This 16319-nucleotide long non-coding RNA is filed under the name Equus caballus (horse). RNAcentral describes it as "lncRNA (ENSECAG00000050315.1)". Lineage: Eukaryota; Metazoa; Chordata; Mammalia; Perissodactyla; Equidae. The record is from RNAcentral.
UGAUCCUUUUAAUAUAUUGUUGAAUUCAGUUUGCUAAUAGCUUCUUGAGGAUUUUUUCAUUUAUGUUCAUUAAGGAUAUUAGCCUGUAAUUUUCUUUUUUGUGGUGUCCUUGCCUGAUUUUGGUAUCAGGAUAAUGCUGACCCUGUAAAAUGAGUUUGGAAGCUUUCCAUCCUCUUCAAUUUUUUGGAAAAUUUGAGAAAGACAAGUAUUAAUUCUUGUUUCAAUGUUUGGUAGAAUUCACCAGUAAAGCCAUCUGAUCAUGGACUUUUAUUUGCUGGGAGGUUUUUGAUUACUGAUCCAAUUUCCACACUAGUAAUUAGUCUAUUCAGAUUUUCUAUUUCUUCGUGAUUCAAUCUUGGAAGAUUGUAUGUUCCUAGGAAUUUAUCUAUUUCUCCUAGGUUGUUUGAUUUGUUGGAGUAUAAUUGCUCAUAGACGUCUCUUGUGAUCCUUUGUAUUUCUGUGGUAUCAGUUGUAACUUCUCUUUCAUUUCUGAUUUUGUUUAUUUGAGCUCUCUUUUUUUCUUGGUUAAUCUAGCUAAACGUUUGUCAAUUUUGUUUAUCUUUUCAACCAAUCAGCUCUAAGUUUCAUUGAUCUUUUCUAUUAUCUUUUUAGUCUCUAUUUCAUUUAUUUACUCCCUGAUUUUUAUUAUUUCCUUGUAGUAACUUUGGGCUUCAUUUGUUCUUCUUUUUCCAGUUCCCUUGGGUGUAAACUUAGAUUGUUAUUUGAGAUUUUUUCCUUGUGUGUUGAGGUAGGCCUGUAUUGCUAUGAACUUCCCUCUUAGAGUCACUUUUGCUGCAUCUCAUAGAUUUUACAUUGUACUUCCAUUUUUAUUUGUCUUUAGUAUUUUUCACUUUCUUCUUUGAUUUAUUUGAUGACUCAUGGUUGUUCAGUAGUAUGUUGUUUAACCUCCACAUUUUUGUUAUUUUUUCCUGUUGUAAUUGAUUUCUAGUUUCAUACCAUUAUGGUUGGAAAAGGUGCUUGAUAGGAUUUCAAUCUUCUUGAAUUUAUUGAGACUUAUUUUGGUUCCAAACAUAUGGCCUAUCGUUGAGAAUGUUCCAUGUGCACCUGAGAAAAAUGUGUAUUCUGAUGCUUUUGGAUGGAGUGUUUUGUAUGUAUCUAUUAAGUCCAUCUGGUCUAAUGUGUCAUUUAAGGUCGAUGUUUCCUUGUUGAUUUUCUGUCUGGAUGAUCUAUCCAUUCACACAAGCAGAGUGUUAAAGUCUCCUACUAUUACUGUAUUGCUGUCAAUCUCUCCCUUUAGGUCUGUUAGUAUUUGCUUUAUAUAUAUUUUUGUGUUCUUAUGUUGGGUGCAUAUUUAUCUGUAAACGUUAUCACUUCUUACUGGAUCAACACCUUUAUCAUUAUGUAAUGCCCUUCUUUAUCUUUUAUUACAGUCUUUGUUUUAAAGUCUAUUCUAUAUGAUAUGAGUUUAGCUACAUAAGGUUUCUUUUCAUUUCCAUUUGCAUGGAAUUCCUUUCUCCAUUCCUUCAUUUUCCUUCACUUUCAGUCUGUGUGUGCCCUUACUUAUGAAGUGAGUCUCUUGUAAGCAGCAUAUAGAUGUCUUGUUUUUUAUCCAUUCAGUCAUUCUGAGUCUCUUUUUUACUUUUUUGCUGGGCAAUAUUGGUCCUGAGCUAAUAUCUGUUGCCAGUAGUCUUCUACUUUAUAUGUGGGUCACCACCACAGCAUGGUCAAUGAGUGAUGUAGGUUCAUGCCUGGGAUCCAAACCUAUGAACCCGGGCUACCGAAGUGGAACACACUGAACUUAACCACGACACCAUGGAGCCAGCCCCAACUCUGUGUCUUUUGAUUGGAGAAUUCAGUCCAUUUACAUUUAAAGUAAUGGAGAAUUUAGUCCAUUUACAUUUAGAGUGAUUAUUGAUAGGUUUGUACUUAUUGCCAUUUUGUUAUUGUGUUAUGACUGUUUUAAUAGUUCCUCUCUUUUCCUUUCUUCUCAUUCUCUCUUCCCUUGUUGUUUGAUGGUUUUCUUUAGUGUUAUGUUUAUAUUCCUUUCUCAUUUUCUUUUGUGUAUUUACUGUAAGUUUUUGCUUUAUGGUUACUGUGAGGUUCACAUAUAAUAUCCUAUGUAUAUAAUGGUCUAUUUUAUGUUGAUAGCAACUGAUAUUUGAACACAUUCUAAAACUUUACAUUCCCCUCUCCAUGUUUUAUAUUUUCCAUGUCCCCUCUUGCAUCUUUUUAUUUUAUGCAUCCCUUAACUGAUUAUUAUAGUUUUAGUUAAUUUCACUACUUUAUCUUAUAACAUUUAUACUUGCUUUAUAAGUGAUUGAUCCACUACAUUUAUUAUAUAUUUACCUUUUCCUAUGAGAUUUUUGCUUUCAUAUGUUUUCUUGUAAUUAACUAGUGCCAUUUCUGUUCAGGUUAAAGAAGUCCCUUUAACAUUUCUUGUAAGGCUGGUUUGAUGGUGUUGAACUUUGUUGGCUUCUAUUUAUCUGGAAAACUCUCAACCUCUCCUUCAAUUCUGAAUGGUAACCUCACCAGGUAAAGAAUUCUUGGUUGGAAGUUUUUUCCUCUCUGCACUUUGAAUAUGUCAUGCCACUCUCUUCUGACCUGCAAAUUUUCUGGUGAAAAAUCUGCUGAUAGCCUUAUGGGAUUUCCCUUCUAUAUAAUAAGUUGUUUUUCUCUUGCUACUUUAAAUAUUCUCUCUUUAUCUUUAAAUUUUACAAUUUUAAUUAUAAGAUGUCUUGGUAUGGAUCUCUUUGGGUUUACAUUAUUUGGAAUUCUCUGGGCUUCCUGGACCUGGAGAUCUGUUUCCUUCUCCAGAUUAAGGAAGUUCUUUGGUUUGGAACAUAUUCUGUUGUCUCCUCAUUUUGCCUCACUCUCUGUGUUUAUUUCUGUGUAUUAGCAAAUCAACUACUUCUCUCAGCCUUGAAGGAGCACCCUCGUUUGGGGGUUGUCAUGGGCCCAGAAGUGCAAUUUCCCCAGGCCACCAGAGCUGAGCAAUCAAGGGGCAUCCCCUGUGUGGGUUGUGCACACCCUCCUGCUGUGGAAGGGCUGUGUCUGCAGCAAGUAUGUGGGCAUGACUCUCAGUGGGACACUCCCACCAGCACUAGUAGGUUAGAGAGAGAGUUCCUAAAUGUCACCUGCCAAUGCAAGCAUUAGCAAGGUAGAAUGAGGUUGCAAAAAUGGUGCCCACCAGUGUCUCCAUCCCUGGAGAGUUUCCUCAACAUUUUUUCCCUCAACAGUUUCCUGCCUUUCCAGCAGACACUUUAAGAUUAGUAAGUGGGUCUCCUUCAUAUAUGGUCUAGGUGCUUUUCAAACUGGUGUUUUUGCAUUGGGUCCUGAGAUGAGUGACUCUAUACAUGAGCCCUUUAAGAGUGAGUUCUCUGUUCACUACAGUUCUAUGGUUUUCCUGGAUGUAAUCCCCACUGGUUUUCAAAGUUAGGCAUUUUGGGGGCUCAUCUCUCUUGUGCACAAUCUAAAAGUUGGGGUCCCUGAUGUGGAGCACAAACCCCUGGCUCUUCAGGGAAAAGUUCCAUAUUUUUUGGAUCCCUCCUGAUUGUGGAUUCCUGUGCCUGGGGUGUUUUUUUGGCUUUGGUGAGACUAUUUCUCUGCCUCUCCUGCUCAUCUCAAUGCUGUCCCUUUAUCCUUUGUUGUGGAGGCUCUGUUUAUCUAGUUUUCAGAGGAAAUUAUUCUGCAUGUAGCUGUAGAUUUAUUGUGUCUUUGGGAGGAGAUGAGUUCGUGAUCUUCCUAUGCCACCAUUUUGAACCCCCUUCAGUCCAACCCAUAUUUCUUAUCUCACAAUUUCUGUAGAUCAGGAGUCUGGCAAGUCACAGGGCCCACACACUCAAUAAAGGGAGGUUACAUAAAGGCAUGGCCACAAGGAGACAAACAUCAGGAGGUAGGAAUUACUGGGGGUCACUUUAGGGCCUGUCCACCACACCAAGUUUCUUAAACUCUAGCUACACACUAAAACUCUGAAAUAAUUACCUUACAUGACUGUAAAAAUUGUCUUCAGCACUUCUCCUAGAUCUGGGUUCUGGGUUCAGUGUCUUGGUAUGUCAUUAGCAUUACCUUGUACCAUCGUCUUUCAACAAUAUAAUCCUGAGCAGUCUGUAUACAAGUACAAACUAGACCAGAAGACACUGGGUCUGCAAGGCUUUGCCAGAGCCCAUAAGUCAGCCCUGCUUCUGAAAGCUAGGUGGUGAGAGGGAAUACCAGAAGGGCCCAAUCAAUUCAUUAAAUCUUUACUACCGUAGGGUUACCAUUGAACAUUAUUGCUUCUGUAGUGACGGUGCAAUACAUAGUUCAGGUCUUUGGGCAAACUAUGCUGGUGCUUCAUAUUUAAGCCCCAAGAUUAUAGCUUUCUGUUACUGUUUCUACAGUCAUAAACCAGGACAAUUGUAGCCUUCCCUCCUUAAGGAAUCUCAUUUAGCCCGGGUCAACCAUAUGGUCUCUCUCUUCCCUCCCAGUGAAUUCCCUUUGGGGCUCUGGGAUAGCAGUAGAAUUUAGUCAGGGCGACUACUCUCCACUAAACAGUUUUCUUAAUUUCCAAUCUCAGGGAAAAGUCGUUGAGAGUUUGCCUCCUUCAUACAUUAAGGGUUCUUUGUGCAAAUUGGUGCACCUACUUCUGAGGUUCUGAUUCCUAAGAGUUAGGUGCAGCCCUACUAAAUCUAACAGAAGAUUUGUUUGGUUACAAUGGCUUUUUGCGUUAUAUUUGCAUAACUGUGCAACUGCACAGAGUAGAGAAGAAUGGCUGUAAGAUGACUUUUUUACCUCAGCCUAAAGAGAGAAGCAGCUGGUACUCUGCUCAGUAAAACAAAUUAGAGCCCUGCCUCACCAGGCAUUCCAGGCACCCCGUUACACUGGUAUUUUAUUAUACACGUCUUCAAAGCAGUCUUUAAGUACUGAAUCUUUAUCAAUUGAAUUCUAUGGGAAGUUUUACUCUUCUCCAUUAUGCUCUGCCAAAUGCUGACUGGAGCUGUGUGAUGCUACAAUUCUCUGUCAUUUCAUCCCCGGAAAUCUUUGUCUGCUUUCUUUAUACAUGCUAAGGCUAUAGGAACAGUGUUUUAAGGUCUCUUUGUUGGGAAAAGCCCAAACUGAAAACAGCUGCCCCACUGGGCAGAAACAAGGAGGCCAUGUCAUUUCUUAUAUAGUGCAUUAAACAGUCAUUCCAGGUGUUACUGUUUAACUCUUUCAUAGUCCAAAUAUCAUGUGGAUUUUACAAGCACAUGGGACUUUUGAGAUUUUUCUAGGGCCGUUAACAGCUAAUAAGUACAAGAACAUAGUGACUGGAAGUUGGGUAAAAAUUUUUCCUGCUUUGCUAUUUAUACUUUGCUUUCUACUUAUGCCUCUCCCUGAAAACUCAUAGACACAAAUUUUUGAUCAACUUUUCUCUGUUUAAAUCUAUUUAUAAACACAUGAAUGUUGAUAGCUUUUGAGUACUGAAUUUAGGUGAAUUUAUAUUUCAGAACAAAAAUUAACUGAUAUCUUCCUGGACAUUUUAUUACAGCAGAGGCAAAAAUCUAGUACCUUGAGAUGAAGAUAAAAAAGGAUAGGGAAGUGGGACAAGCUUCUGAGUUUGAGACGUCAUCUCUUUCCUGCCUCUGCAUGCUAGGAGUUGGAACAAGUAUUUAUCAAGACACAUCGCUAUAUGCUGCCAUUCUACUGGAUUUAGUAGACUACGAAAUAAUCCUUAUUCAAAAUGGAGGAAAGGAUGAUAAAAUUUAAGUAAAAGGACAACAAUAAAACAAAACAAAGCAAGCUCCAAGUGACCUCUCAGUAUUCACAUCCUUGUGUGCACUUCUCCCAUAUGGAAUCAUGGCUGGUCAAGAUUAAUAGAAUACUGUGUGUGACUUCUGAGGCUAUUGUCAUAAAAAGGCACUACAGUUUCUGCCUUGAUCUCUUGGACUGCUUGCUCUGGGGAAAACCAACCUCCAUGUUGUGAAGACACACAAAGAGUUCCUUGGGGAAAUCCAUCUGGAGAGGAAACAACUUGUCCACAUCAACUUGUGAGCCAUGUGAGGGGGCCACCAUGGAGGUGGAUCGCCAGCCUCAGCCAGGCCUUUGGAGAUCAUAGCCCCAGCUGAUGUCUGACUGCAACCUUAAGAUCCUGUGCUAGAACAUGCAACCCAGCCUUUUCUAAAUUCCUGGAUGAAAUGAUGAGAGAAAUACAUCAUUAUUGAUACAUAUUAUUGAUAUUUUAAACCACUACAUUUUGGGGUACUUUGCUACACAGCUAUAGAUAACUAAUACAAGGCUCUUACAUCAUGAGGUCAGCAAAACCUCUCUGAAGAGAUAGUAUUUGCUAUGACCUGAACAAGGAAUAACCAGCUGUUUGACCCUUGGGGAGUUCAGUUUUCCAGGCAGAAGCAGUAGCCAAAAGGAAGUUGGAAGGAAAGUGAGUGUGUGCAGAGCAUAAUGAGUGGGAUUGGGGGAGGAGGGUGUGGGGAGAGGUAUGUAGGAGCUGGGUUCUUUAAAGUAGUGCAGGUCAUGGCAAGGAAUUUGGAUGUUUUCCCUAAGUGCAAUAGGAGUUAUUAAAAAGUGUUAAUCAUGUUAGUGAUGUGAGGUAAGAAUGGGAGGUAAAGAAAUACUUCUUGAUAUACCCACUCAAGAAUUUUUGCUGUGACAGAGGAGCAGAUAUAGGGUCAAGUGAGGCUUUGUUCUUUUCUAAAAUGGGGACAAGUAAGACCUAUUUGUAUGCUGAGGGAAAUGGUUUUAGAGUGAGGGAGAUAUUAGUGGUGCAGGAGAGCAAACGGAUAAUUGCAGGACAAUUGUUCUUAAAUAGGCAAGAGGGAUGAAUUCAGAUGACAACAAGUGAGGCUGUUCCUCAGUGGGAGCAAAGACAGAGAGCAAGCCAAGUACUUGGGGACAUUGGCAGUUAGACUGGUGAAUCUGUGAAAAUGAGGUGAUUUUGUCUGAUUGCAUCUAUUUUCUUAAUAAAAUGUUUGCUUUGAUUAUAAGUUAAAAGUGAGGAUAUAGGAGGUGUGAAGAAAGCUGAAGUAGAUAUUUGUGUUGCGUGUCUGAAUAAGUGGAACACUCAAUUGGAAUUUCUAUUGCUUUCCACUUCUAGAGAAAACAACAACAAAAACAAGAAAGAGAAAAACAAGUUGAUAUGAGUUAUUUAGUCCAAAAAGGUAUAGCUGGUGGCAAAGGAGGAUAAAAGGGAGAGGAGCGUUUGAGCUGAGAGAGAAAUGAUCUUAUUUUAUUCCCCUAGAAUUCUAGAAUUUUAGAGUUAGAGGGAAGCUUAGAUUCAUAUAUUUAGGCAAAGGCACACCCUUUGUAAUUUUUCUUUGUCCUUUUUGUUCGUGUUUGGUUGACCCAGGAAAUUAUAUUUAUAAAAUAAACUGAUGAUUUCUGUUUUUAUCAUCAGUGAAAUCAACAUGAUCAUAACUAAAAACUUGAGACUUUCACUCCAACGAGAGGCAUCAAUGAUUAUUUGAUGGGAUUUAUUCAUUCAGCAAAAUCGAUUAAAUGCCUACUUUGUUUACUAUAGUGUUCUAGGUCUAGGUGAUAGGAAACAAUGUCGAGUGAGUAAGAUAAGCUCUCAGCCCUGCUAGGUCCUACUCCAGCCUUCAUCUACCAUGUAGAUAAUCAGGCAUGUUUUCAGUCUUUCAGCUCCAUGAAACACUUCUGCUAUAAAACAUGCCUCUAAGGCACACCUGGAGACAGUAUAGUGUAAUGUUCAGAGGCCUGACCAGGUUUGAAUCCCUUAAACUCUCUGCCUUGUUUCCUCCCCCGUACAGCAGGCACAAUAAUAGAGCACACGUCAUUCAGUUCCUGAGAUAAUUAAAUGAACUUUGACAUACAGAAUGCUUAGUGCAGAGCCUGGUACAUAAUGAGUGUUAUAUAAGUGAUUCUUAUCGAUUAAUAUAAAGGUGUCUUCUUCAUGUAAAGGGGAAAGACAGUCUUCAAGUAAAGUUUACUUUUAGUUUAAACCAGACAUAAUUUGGAAACUAAAUAGUCUGGCAUAACCCCAUCUCCAUUCACACAAUUCUAAAGCAAGUGUGUGUGUGUGUGUGUGUGUGUGUGUAUGAGUAUAUAUUUGCACACCCUGCAACUCCUGUGGAAAUUAUGUGUUCAUGAGAGGAUCAGACAUGGAUUCUGACAUUACUUUCAUUCUGAUGAAGCUUAUUUUCAUACAACAAUUUUAGAACUCUAUUUUCCAACUUUAUACUAAAAUUUAAGUUAGUGCUGGAACUAAAUGUGUCAAAUCAAAAUCAAAUAACCCCCACAAUCAACCAUUGAGUAACUGAAUAUAUAUAUUAUUCUACAAAAGCAAGUCAUAUGAACAUCUGGAAGCCUCCUCAUUAACGCCAUCCUUCCAAGUAAAAUAAAUGCUUCAGCCAUAUUUAUGCAUUUACAAUCCUCCCCUGACCUCAGGAUGAACAGUUAUAAGUUGUUUCCAUUGAAGCCUGUACAGAUCAAUUAUUUAGCUUUUUGUGGGUUUCUUUUAAACACAAUUACCUGGAGGAAGAAAGAUGAGUUUAUGAAAGCUUCUAAGGAAUUUAUGCAAAAAAGAAAAAAAUGGUGCCCAGGUUGCUUUUCAUUUUCAGAAGGUUUUUUCCCUCCAUAUUUAAAGACUGCAUUAUGCAGUCAUUCAUUCUGUAAAUUAAACCUUUUGAUUCCUAGUAACAUUAUGCAAAGCUAGCUUAUUGUACCUAUUUGCAAAUACACUAUAUUAGUGAAUGCUUUCUUUUUCUUUGCCCAAAUUACCAAGAUGUGUCACAACAUACAAAGGACAUUUUAAAUGCUACCAAAAUAGAAAGUUUUGUGUAAGCUAUGAUAAGCACAAUAUACAGCACAGUCACUCCAAGUGCCCAAAGACACGUGGAAUUACAAUAUGAAAAAAAAAGAAGGCACUCUGAAAAAGUUAAAAGCACAAUAUGUGAAUAUCACGGAAAAGUCACUCAAGGGCACUUAAUCAUUGAAACACAACUACUGGAUGUGAGGGAAGUUGAUGAAAAUAGACUUGGGAGAAUUUUUCCCAAUCUCACCCUUUUCUUGUUCCAAACGUAACUGUCAACACUUCAUGUUCCCUGGAACACCCUAAGGUGGGCAAGAGAUUUGAUGGAACAGAUCCUCGGAAACAGAGCAGAGGAAAUGCGGCAUAGCUGAGUUACUUAGAUAUUACAGAUUGUUUUGUCUCUCUAUUUUGAACUGUGACUCUGACAUAUUAAGCUUUCCUCCUGUGUUCCCUUCAUUCUACAACAACUGUAUUUACAUGGGACACACAAAAUCUGAGUGAUAGGACAGAACCCGAGGAGAAGGGAUGGAAUCUACAUAGCUAAGAUGUUUCCAUAUGUCCUUAUCUAGUCUUUAACCACUGUCUUUAGUAAAUAAAAAAUGAAAGUUAAAAAAAAAAGACUUGAGAAAGCCUCAUGCUAUUUGUGCAUAGGGAAUGGAGGUUUGCAAGGGGCCAAGAGAUCAGGGAGGAGAAGAAAAAGGGAACUGAGUGUGGAAAAGAAAAGAAAGCUCUUUCUUCUGAGAAUUUGAGAAGAAAGUAGAUGCAGGGGAGGAAGACAUUUCCUCUACCCGCUGUGGGUUCGUCUGACCAGAGAACGAAUUAAAUACGCAUGAGGCAGAAUAGCAGGAGAAAAUUAAACAAAGCUUUAUAACAUGUAUACAUGGGAGAGGCUCAGGCAAGCUGAGCAACUCACCAAAAUGGCUGAAGCCCCCACCUUAAAUAUCCUCCUCAGCUAAAGACAAAGGAGGAUGUUGGGGGUGGAGGGGAAGUUGAUCAUGGGAGAUUACCACACAAGUACAGUAAACAAAUGCAGAUUUGAGUCCUUGCCUUUGGCAUUGAUUAAGAGUUUCUAGAGAUAAGGUCAUUCCCCCUUCUUCCUGGUACAGAGAGGGAGACACCUUUAUAGAUGAAGAUUUCCUUUGCAAUGUAAAUGUAUCUUAACAAAGGGUAAGUAAAUUCUACUUUUCAGUUGCUUUCCUGUCUGCAGUUUAUUAAAAGUAACCAGCCCCAAAUAAUCCUCAUGCCAAAGAGACAUAUCUUGGGGUGGCCAAUUCCAGGCUCCCACAUAGACUUACAUUGUGUUCUCCAUUCUCAAGUGUUGUCCAUCUGAAAGUGUGUUGGUAGAAUCAAUGUCCUCUCAAACACACACACACACCAUGCAGACACAGAUAAAAUUUAUGAGAAAACAUUUAAUAAGUGUUAUCAGACAGCUAUUAGUAAAACCAAAACACUUUUCAAGCUCAAUAACUAUUUACUGUAAAAUUUUUAUGUUUAAGUAUUAUAAAUUAACUAUUAAGAGACAAAAUAAGAGAAACCUGGGCUAUUUAUCUGUGAAGAUGAGGAGACCACGGAACACUCUAACGUUCACUAUUGUUUUUCAUGUUACAUACGGAGUUUCUAUGUCUAUAAGGUUUGUCUUCAUAGGCGGUUCAUUCACUUGCUCUACAGUAUUUAUGGUUCCCUACUCUCUUGGAGCGCUCACAGCACCUCUCUCCCUCCUCUCCUCACCUCCUUAAACUCUCAGAGACAUUGGUGAGGUCCUCUUUUGAGAAGAAUGUGAGGAGAAGAUGUUUAAACUCAGAAUAUGAGAUUUACAUUAUACUUGGGAAUAGCGUGAUAGUAAAAAAUAUAAGUUCAUAAGCAAAUUACUGAUGGUUUUAGGAUCGUCAGAAUUUUUUUUUUACAGAUUGUGUAUGUGUGUGUGUGAUUUCGGUAUAGUUUAACAAUGAUAUUAUAAAUGUUCAAACUUAAUUUGGCCUUAAAAAGAUGUUUUUGUCUAUGGAGAAACAAAUAGUGUUUUGGGAUGAAAGUAGAUCCUAGGUAGAGGUGUUACUUGGGUUCUGCAAGUUGGCCUAGGGACCCUUAUCUUAAUGCACUUGUUCAAUGCUAACUUAAGGGAGAUGCACAAAUAAAUUUAUACCAGAAAAGCUGCCUUCGAUGAUAUAUAUACAAUUGAUGGAGAGAAGGCAAAUGAAAGAGAAAGAUUUUAGUCUCUGGGACACAGCUUGCCAAGAUUUUGGUCCCCAUAGGCCUGGGUGUGGGCUUGCAAGCCCUCCAGUGGCCAGAGCUGCCUCCCGGCCACCUCAAGCACCCCUGGCCAGUCUUCUUUGAUCUUUAGGGGUACCUAUCUGUUUACCUUAGAGUGCAGAGCGCAGUACAGAUAUUACCAUUUUAAGAUAGGAAAACAUUGCCCUAAGGAGCUAUGACUUCCUAGGUCGAGGAAUUGCUCUGCAUUUCUUUUUGUAAAGGAGUAGUCUUUGAUUGUACUCCUUGUCAUAUCUGGGCCUAUGUCUAUCUGUAUUUAUAUCUAUUCUACAAAUAUUUCUUGGACACACACAAUAUGCCAUACAGCACAAAAUAAUAAAAAUCCAAUUUUGAUGAAUGCUAUGCAGACCAGCAAAAUAGAAAAUGAAAACAUAAUUUGCAACAAACUGUGACUAGAAAUUUUGUCUAAUUUAUACAAUAUUGCUAUUUUCUAUGAAGUGAAUGUUUUGAUUUUUUUCCCCACAAAAUGCAUCCCUUCUUUCUUGAGCUGUAACAAGUUCAAUUUCCUUGCUCUUCUUCUUCUAAACGUGAAACUUUAUUCCUUGUCAGUGUCUAUGAAACUGGAGAACAGAAACUGGCUUAUCUGUUACUCUUAAUAUUAUUGAUUUACGAGAUUCUCAUCCUGGUAUUUCUAAGGAAAGAGCCAAAGUAUCCUGGUAUUUCUGUUUGCGAAGAUUCAAAAGCAAUGAAGCAAGCUAUUUCCCUUGAACGCUGUUAUACACGACAAAGGAGCUAACUGCUUAAUUCCAGGGGUCUGUUAUUAUUUGUAAACUGCUUCUUAAAUAAGGAUACUUCCAGAUGCCUCUUGCUCCAGAUGGUACCAUUUAACUGCCUGUGUUACUCAUGAGUGGUUUUCUGCUUUAGCUUUAAACAAAUACUUAACACAGCAAUUCUGUUAUCAAGAAUUCUCUCUUAAAAUUGGAACAAAAUCCUAAAGUGGUACAUGAAGUGGCAGCACAAGCAAUUUCUUUCAGCAUGGGACACAUGGGUUAAAAAUAAAUGAAGCAUGAAGGUAUCGGUAGGGAUGAAACAGAACUAUAGCCAAGUGGAAAGAGAAAAGCUCUCUGGGCUUCGUCUGAAGAGCUGAGUGCAAAUCCUUGCUCUGCUCCAUGUUAGCCUGGUGACCUCGACAUCUCUUUCAUAGGAUUUGUUUGAGGACUAAACAAGAUAAUUAAUAUUUUCCAACACUAUUUCUGAUGGAUGGUAAUACAUGUUACCAGUAAAAAAAAAGUUUCUAUGGUUGCAUCCAUUUGAGAAAUGUUAAGUUAAACCAAGAAAUAGGUUUCUUCAGUGAAAGACUUCUCAGUCUUUAAAAUGACUUUAAAAAGGACUUCUCAGUCAAUAUGUUUUGUGACUCUUGUGUCACUGUGAUUCCUAAACUGACUUGGCCCCCAGCCAGCACUCUUGUUGGAAAUAUAUUCAGUGGGACACAUUUUGGGAAUGCUACUCUGCUCUCUAAAGUACUGUUAAAAUGUAAGCUGUUACAAGUUUAUAUGUAACUGUAGACAGCAAUGUGGGAACUGCCUUUUACUCAUUUGUGUUCUGGAGACCUUUCCUAUCUGACUGUCAAAAUUAAUCCAUUAUUAAAUACAACAUUUUAAAGUAAAUUUAGUUAGCAAUCAUGAUCCUUGGUACAUCAGAUAUUUAAAAAUAAGCAAACAUAAAACAAAACAAAACAAUGAUAUAUUUAAGCCCACAGGUUCAAACAACACUGGUUGUUCUUUUCAGCUUUAUGUUUAAAAUCUCACCAGGUAUUAUGAUAAUAAUUUGACCAGAUGUUUGCCUCUUUCAUGGAAUUUUCACUCUUGAAUUUUAUUAGUAUGGCUUAAACUAAAGCUCUGUGAAAAAUUUAAUGCUAUUUUUGCAUUCCUUUUAGUAGUACUUGAAAAAUAUGAGCGUGUCAGCGAAACAGCCUAAGUACUGGAUACACCUCACGUUCAGAACCUAGGGGAUACCUGCUUACUCUGCGAUCUCUACAACUUACGUACCCUCCAGCCUCAGUUUUUUCAUAUAUAAAGUGGGUAUGGUACUACCUACCUUCCAGAAUAUUUGUGAAGCACAAAGAAGGAAAUCAUUAGAUGAAAGCUUCUGACAUGCAGCUGCUACUUUUGAAUGACAACAGAAAGUCGUGGAUUUGCGUAUUUACAUGAAGGCAUUCCUUGGGAAUUAGUGUACGACUACAAACGUCCAGUUUUUAAAAAUUAGAAACAGAUUAAUCCUUAUUAAAGCAGCUCUAAAUAAUGAUGCAGUUAAAUUUCAAUUUAUAUUGCAAAGAAUAAAACAAUAUCUAAUCUGUAUAUCUGCAUAUCUGCAUCUAUGGGAAUCUUCGAUUAAGUAUUUCUUUCUUAUUUCUCCUUUAUGCCCUUUUGCAUGCUUGUGAUUACUUAAAUCUUACACUGAGAUCUGAAUUUUAGUAGCUGUGCUCUUAAAAUUCAAAAACUACCUUAUUGCCUCAGUUUAUUUUACGUUUGUGAUGGUCUCAGGAAUAAUACAGAGUAUAUUAAUUAUUCUCAUUUUAAAAUUAUUCUCUGCAUCUUGGAUUAACGCUUUCUCCCACUUUUAGUGCCUGCCUCAUCAGUCUGCUGACCACUGGCUGUGUGGACCUCAUUGGGAUCAUUGAUUCAGGUUAUAGGGGCCUCUCCUGAGGUUGGGGGAGGAGAUUUACAGCUGCUUACUGUUUUAAGAUGUGUAAGGAGGUUAUCUGAGCUCAAGUAUUUGUCUACUACCAAAGGAAGUCACCUAAACAAAACACCAGCAGCCCCCUGUGUCUUCAGCAGUGAUGCCGGAGUCAAGCUUCCUUUUAGAAACCUGUCCUAAGGCUUUAUCCUAGAGACAGAUAUGCCGGCAAAUCUGAGCAUGGGGCUGGAGUGGCUGUCCUGUGCCCCUUGACUAAUUUACACCACUGAUUGCACCCACGUUCCUGCUUCUUAGGCUGGACUAUUCUGGAGUUCCGAUGGGAAUACUCACUAGGGAGCAAGCCUCUGUUGUCCCACAUUGUACUAAAGUUUACUCAGGUCUGUUAAGUGUUCCUAUCUGUCUCCUACUGUGUAGUAUAUUCAGAAGUUCUUUAACUUUCCGGCCAAUGCUACUAUGAACUUAUUCUAAUUUUCUAAUUGCUUCUAUUUCCCUUUAAUAGGAUUUUUGUGGGGGAGAAGGAGAGGUAAAGUCCUGUGCUCAUCACCCAUCUUGAAAUGGAAAACCCUAGAAUGAUUGUGUCUUUCUACUAUCAUCUUCUACUUUCUUUGAGUCUCUACAUGGUCUCAAUGAGAGCUUUGUUUUUCACUCUCCUUUUUAAACCUAUUUGACUAUAGCCACCAAUGAAUCUUAUUUCUCAGCUUUUGGCUUGGUUUAUUUCCUCUUCAGAGUUGAACAUGCAUCAUUCAUUCAGUCAGUCAUCAAAUAUUUGUUGAACGUGUCUUAGAUACCAGGUGAUGAAGAAAUACAGACACAGCCUUGCCAGCACAAAGGUAAGCUCCUUCUUUUCUGCAAACAUGGAGCAGAUUUUCUUAUUUUUUCCCAUGAGAAGAGUAGAUCUGUCUUUACCUUUCUGCUUAUUUAACCUAUUAGCACAGCAUAUGUCUAGCUUUUGUUUAAAAAAUGGCUUAUUCUUUGUAAGAUAAAAAUUUUCAUUCUAACUUGGCAACUGAAAAGAAGAAUAUUUAAGGUUAAAUAUUAAGCUUCAAAUACAACAGCAAAUUAAACUGACAUUUUAAUUUCACUGUCAAUACCGUAUAUGUCGUAGAGACCUUCUAAUAUAACUGUUGUCAUCAUGUAGCGUAUAACUGAUGGCUCUUAGUGCAAGUGGUUAUUUUAAAUUAAAUUAUCUGAAUUUAUUUUUUACAGGUCUCCCAAGGCUUGUAGAGUUAAAGUGCACUUUGCCCAUAUUAAAGAGGAACUUCCUGAUAUUAAAAUGGAAUGAGUUUCCAAGAUUGUUUGGAAUUCCUUCUCUGCAGAGCUUUCAAAACAAUCCAUCUUAUCGUGUGUCUUUGGUAAUUUAAAUGUGGUUGUGCUUGAAGGCCAGAGAUUAGGGUCCCUUUCAAUCUUAUGACCUGUGGGCAACUCAGGUUGUUGUAUCCAGUAAGUGAAGAGUUUGUGAAAAUGCGCAUAAAACUAUACUGCGCAUGUGCAAAUGCGUAUAGGGGAAGAGAGGGCUUGUUGGUCCUAGAGGUCUGUGUCUCUCAAACUGGGACGUGCAUGAGCCCAGGGGGACAGAGUGUCAUGUCAGUGUAUAUCUGAAGCUGCAGGAGACACAUGGUGCAUCUUCCUGAGAGGUCAAUAAUCCGAAAAAUAGUGCAGAAAAGCAUUUUGAAUUUUUAUUUUAUUUUUAUUAGAAUAAAUAUGGAUGUAUCAUUAAGUAGAAAUCACAAAUUCUUGCACUGACUGAAAAAAUAAGAUAGAAGUCUUAAACAAUUUGGACUACUUUGGAUUGUUCCUCCCGUGUCUGCCCAGGGUGCUCAUCCUCUCUCCUGCUGGACUUUGGUAGCGAUGGUCACUGGCUCCUCUGCAGGUAAAAACGUGUGACGUAAAACGCUGGUUUCAAUUCCUAAUUAUUAUAGCGUGAGUAACGUUUUUGAAUGCUAGUAGUUAAUUUAUCUAAGGAUUCAAGAAAAACUUGCUAUGAGACUAGCAGAUUAGAACUUAAUCUUUUAAAAUUUGAUAAAGGGGAGAUGUAAACCAGCCUCAAUAUACAUAUGUAAUUUGUUUUGACAGAUUAAGAUAUGAACAUCUGAUUGAAAGUAAAUGUCAAAAUGCAUCAAGCAUGCAAAAUUGUCCUUAGCACCUUUGUAUAUCGUGCUAUCUGUAGUUAGAUAACACCCUAACACCCAGAGGAUCCUCUUCCGCAUUCUGAUUUUACCCAGAUUCUCCUUUUUGUGAAUCUCUAAGUGAAUCUCAAGCCUUUCAAAGUUGAAUCUCUAAAUGGUACUAAAAUACUCUGGAAAUUGUGAAGAAGUUUGAGAUAAAGUGCAUGCAUAUUCAAAUUACUUAAAUGACAGCUUUAUUUUUAGUUAAUUUUCAUUUAUGGAUGCCUCUCAAUUUUCUAUCAAAACCUAGAUAUACAGAGCCAUGAAUUCUGGCUUUUUUCCCCCAUUUCUGGCAUCUAUUUUAGAGACCUCUGCAAAUAAAAGAAAUCUGUAAAUGUGGCUCUUCCUUGUUAACCUCACACCUUUUUUUUUCUCUGCGAAACAUGUCUAACACUUAAGUCCAGAGUCAGAGCCAGGGACAGACUCUGAGGAAAGCAUGGGCACACUAUUUUUCUUGCUUCUUUAGUUUCUCUUUUCCUCCUCUUUAGAAGACUGCUAGGGGAAAAGGUUUAGUUUCCUUCUAGGUUUCCUUUUAUUCCCGUGGUGAACUGUAG